RNAcentral lists this ribosomal RNA (208 nucleotides) under uncultured bacterium. RNAcentral describes it as "partial 16S ribosomal RNA". It matches the Rfam family "Bacterial small subunit ribosomal RNA", at positions 1293 to 1500 of the family's 1533-position model. The record is from RNAcentral.
UCGGAUUGCAGUCUGCAACUCGACUGCAUGAAGCUGGAAUCGCUAGUAAUCGCGGAUCAGAAUGCCGCGGUGAAUACGUUCCCGGGUCUUGUACACACCGCCCGUCACACCAUGGGAGUCGGAUAUGCCCGAAGUCAGUGACCCAACCGCAAGGAGGGAGCUGCCGAAGGUGGAGCCGAUGACUGGGGUGAAGUCGUAACAAGGUACC